GAUGAACGCUGGCGGCGUGCCUAACACAUGCAAGUCGAGCGAACGGACGAGAAGUUUGCUUCUCUGAUGUUAGCGGCGGACGGGUGAGUCACACGUGGAUAACCUACCUAUACGACUGGGAUAAUUUCGGCAAACCGGAUCUAAUACCGGAUAAUAUUUUGAACUUCAUGGUUCAAACGUUUAAGACGCUCUUUCUGUCACUUAUAGCUGGAUCCGCGCUGCAUUCGCUAGUUGUUAAGGUAACGGCUUACCAAGGCUACGAUGCAUACCCGACCUGAGAGGGUGAUCGCCCACACUGGAACUGAGGAACGGUCGAGACUCCUGCGGGAGGCAGCAGUAGGGAAUCUUACGCAAUGGGGGAGAGCGUGACGGUGCAACGCCGCGUGAGUGAUGAAGGUGUUCUGAUCGGAAAACGCUGAUGUCAGGGGGGAACAUAUGUGUAAGUAACUGGGCAGAUCAUGACGGUACCGAAAGAGAAAGCCACGGCUAACUACGUG
Molecule: ribosomal RNA, 497 nt
Filed under: uncultured bacterium
Lineage: Bacteria
Description: partial 16S ribosomal RNA
Rfam family: Bacterial small subunit ribosomal RNA
Source: RNAcentral